Molecule: ribosomal RNA, 524 nt
Filed under: uncultured Ramlibacter sp.
Lineage: Bacteria; Pseudomonadati; Pseudomonadota; Betaproteobacteria; Burkholderiales; Comamonadaceae
Description: bacterial SSU rRNA
Rfam family: Bacterial small subunit ribosomal RNA
Source: RNAcentral
AGGGUUUGAUCCUGGCUCAGAUUGAACGCUGGCGGAAUGCUUUACACAUGCAAGUCGAACGGCAGCACGGGGGCAACCCUGGUGGCGAGUGGCGAACGGGUGAGUAAUACAUCGGAACGUGCCCAGUCGUGGGGGAUAACGUAGCGAAAGCUACGCUAAUACCGCAUACGAUCUGAGGAUGAAAGCGGGGGACCGUAAGGCCUCGCGCGAUUGGAGCGGCCGAUGGCAGAUUAGGUAGUUGGUGGGGUAAAGGCCCACCAAGCCUGCGAUCUGUAGCUGGUCUGAGAGGACGACCAGCCACACUGGGACUGAGACACGGCCCAGACUCCUACGGGAGGCAGCAGUGGGGAAUUUUGGACAAUGGGCGCAAGCCUGAUCCAGCCAUUCCGCGUGCAGGAUGAAGGCCUUCGGGUUGUAAACUGCUUUUGUACGGAACGAAACGGCUCUCUCUAAUACAGGGGGCUAAUGACGGUACCGUAAGAAUAAGCACCGGCUAACUACGUGCCAGCCGCCGCGGUAAUACA